This is a long non-coding RNA of Marmota monax (woodchuck), 2138 nucleotides long. RefSeq lists it as uncharacterized. The transcript has 2 exons. Lineage: Eukaryota; Metazoa; Chordata; Mammalia; Rodentia; Sciuridae. The record is from RefSeq and is a predicted model, not a curated record.
UGACUCUAGUCACCUACCAUUUCCACCUGAAGGGCAGGAAAAAAAAAAGAGAGGGCUAAAAAUUAAUUUCUUCAUUAACUGUUCCUGCAACACACUGUUUGCUGCAAAUAGUCUCUAAAGAUGUCCUGAGGCUUUAAAAGUUCAAAGUCUAAAGUAUAAUUUCUUUUGAGAUACACAUUGUGUGCAAGUUUCGACAUUGAAAAUGCACUGGGCUACAAUGCUUUUGUUAAAAUACUUUAAAUUCAAGAAAGGGGAAAAAAAGGCAAUGUUCUCAAAUUUCCAGACGCUGAAGCUUCUCAAAUUUUAUAGUUCAAAUUCUUCCUAUAGAAGAAAGCAUCGACAGCAACGACAGCAAGGACGUUUCAAAGUGGAAUUUCCUUAGAAUGUGGAUGCAUAAUGAUAAACAUAAGGGACUUGCAGCACUGGGUCACCUCAUGAACAAAUCGCUCUCUGUAAGGUCAAGACUGCCCCUUGAGGAUGGAGGAGAGAAACUGCAGGGGCCCUGAGUGCCAGAAGCACAUCAGAGAAAAAAGCCACCUCUGAGCCAGACUGCUCAACAAAGGGAGAGAGGAACUGAAACGAAAAUUUUUAAAGAAUUAGAGUGAGCCCAAUGAGAAUACCUAAUGGACAGUCUGAUCCGGUCAAUCUUUUUCAUCUUUUGAGACAUGCUGCUCUAAUUCUAAACCCCACUCCAAGACUCUGUUUUGAGAAGCCUGAUUUGAGCCAAUUUAGAAUGUCUAAAAACAAUCAGAAUAAAAGCCACACUGUCAGGUGCUCUUCAAUGGUUUCUGCCCUCCCCGGCAAUCCAAGGCAGGCAGCCUGUGCGUGGAACAGGAGGCAGUCCCCAAAGCCCUGUAACAUGACCCAUGCCAGCUAGCCACUGAGAGAUUACAAAGAAUGAGGUCAGUUCCUUCUCAUUCCUUCUAGCAUUUCUAAGGAAAGCAAACAGGAAUCACAAGACAAAAGGCAGUGUCAUGAGGCACUUUAAGCACUCAAUGUGGGAGGUAGCUUGAUUUCAUAUUUUCCUCCAUUAAUUAAUUGCAAAGUUAAAGUAUGGAUAUCAUGAACACAUUAGCUCAUAUCAUCCAUCAAAUAGUCAUUUGAUACAAUUGUGGUUGCUGGGAAGGAGAGUUCUGAUAAAAAGGAGUAUAUAUAUUUUUUAUUCUCAUAAAGAAUUUUAAAAGUCCAUGUAAAAGAAAAAAAACUGACAAAAAUGAAGAAAAAUCCAGUUUGUAUUUGAGUUUCACUGAAUAUUUUUUCACCUAAUGAAACAAACAGAAUUACUUUUUAUAUACAAACUAAAUCAUGAUUUAAAAAAAUCCAAAAUAAUCAGAGAAUGUAAGUAUAGCUUAAAUUCUUAAGGUGACUGGACUGACAAUUAAAAAAUAAUUCAUUGAGAUUUGUAAAUUUUUUAACAUCUGUUUCAUGAUUCAACUGUCAAACUAAAUUAGCCUAAACUCAAGACUGUGCUACCUACCAAAAUUUACCAGUUAUUUUCGGUUUUGGAAUCUUGAAAUAAUUGCACAUGAAUGGAACCUUCCAAGUCAACCCAGUACAACCACUUGCCUGAGGCGAGAGAUAUCCCUGGCAAAUACUUUUACUUUUUAAAAUGCUCUAACUAAGGGUUGCAAUGUAGCUAAGUAGAAGAGGGCUUGCCUAGCAUGUACAAGGUGAUAAGAUUAGUCUGUAGAUCACUUUUCUUUAUAGGAUGUUCUACAGACCAGUUUAUUCUCUAACUUAUAGUACACAUAAGAAUAAAAGAAAAUGAAGUGGCACUUUAUUCUGUGCUAACUAUGCUAGUUAUUGUGGUAUUUAUUUAGAUAACUUAUUCUUUACAUCAUUCCAGUGAAUGACUAAGAACCUCAUUCUAUAGAAAAAAAUACACAAUAAGCUAAAAUAUAGGAUACCAGUCGGGCGCUGUAGUGCACACCUGCAAUCCCAACAGCUCAGGAGGCUGAGACAGGAGGAUCACAAGUUCAAGGCCAGCCUCAGCAAUUUAUCGAACACCCUGUCUUAAUAUAAAAAAAUACAAAAAGAGCUGGGACUAUGGCUUAGUGGUUAAGCACCCUAGAUUCAAUCCAUGGUACCCACCCCCUCAAAAAUUAAGAAAUAUAAAAUAUAGGAUAUCACUAUUUAUA